GCUCUGUGACUUGGUAGCUCAGAGCCCAUCAGUUGGUUCAGGCUCCAUCUCAUGUAUCCUGGAUUAGAGAACAAAGCAUUUCCCCUUUUCCAGGAUCAGCAGUCUUCCUUCAUCUUUAUUUGGCCUGGAGACACCUUCCUCAUCCUCAGCAUUAAAACACCAUCUUUGGGUGCCAGCUCCUAACUGUGGCAGACCCUGGUUUACUUCAAGAACUCCAGACAGUCACCCUGCCUGAGUCUGUGUCUACAGCCCUGAUAUUGCUCAAAAUGAUUUCACUUGUUCUCAGUCUUUGUCCUCUCCUAUUGACCUCAUAUACAGGUUCUGUUCCAUCCUUGGCCCUAGCCACUGAUACCUCACAAUGCUGUACACACCUGCCCCAGGCCUUUGCUGCUCCAACCUCAUGAGACUUGGUCACUCCACACGUGUUUACGGAAAGCAGGCCCUGUGUGAUUUAUGAAGCCAGGCUCUGAGGAUACACAAAAAGAGGAUGGUAUCUGCCCUCAGAGACUUAUCACCAGAUAUACAGCUGUUCCUGCUCAGUGGGUGGAGAGCCCGGCCCACCA
Heterocephalus glaber (naked mole-rat) is the source of this 563-nucleotide long non-coding RNA. RefSeq lists it as uncharacterized. NCBI's taxonomy places the organism in Eukaryota, Metazoa, Chordata, Mammalia, Rodentia, Bathyergidae. The record is from RefSeq and is a predicted model, not a curated record.